UCAGGAGUUCCCCCAGGAAUGCCAGGCCAGCCCCCAGGGGGACCCCCCAAACCCUGGCCCGAAGGUAAGACCCCAAAUUUCACCCAAAUUUCACCCAAAUUUCACCAAAUUUCACCCAAAUUUCACCCAAAAAUUCCUGCAAAUUCACCCCAAAUUCCUGCAAAUUCACCCCAAAUUUCUCAGCUCUGGGAGGGUGGGAAGGGAAAGAAAAUUCCUGGUUAAAAUCUUGGGGUUGGGGCUGAAAUUUUGGACAAAUUCAUCCACAAGUCAGAUACUCCGAAUUGGUGCAACUCUCUUUGACUCCUCCCAUAAUAAUUUGAUUUUUUGGGGGGAAUUUACAUGGAUUUCCUCAUAAUUUUGGGUGAUUUUUUUUUGGUUCUUUAGGGUCAAUUUCCACAUAAUUAAUUGGAAUUUUGGGUGAAAUUUGGAUGAAUUUCUCCACAAGCUCAUUCCAAUUCAGAUACUCCAAUUUUACAUUCCUGCCCAAAUAAUUCCAUUAUGUUUUGGGUAUUUAGAGUCGAUUUCCAAGUAACCUAAUAGGAAUUUUGGAUUUAAUAAUUAGAUUUUUUGGAGGGGAUUUAGGGUCGAUUUACUCAUAACCAAAUAGAUUUGGGUGAUUUUUUUUUUUUGGUUCUUUAGGGUCAAUUUCUGCAUAACCAAAUAGAAAUUUUGGACUAAUUUCUCACCAAAAAAAUUAAUUUUUUUUUUGUAAAUGAUGAAAUUUUUUUCUCUCCCCCCCAGGCCCGCUGUCGGCGGCGGCCCCGGGCGGGGCCCCCCAGAAGCUGCUGCCGCCCCCCCCCGCCGGCCGCCCGUCCCCGGUGCCCCCGGCGGUGCCGCCGGCGUCGCCCGGGCCCCCCCCGCCCUCGCCGGGGCAGCCGGCGCCGCCGGCGCUGCCCAUGCACGCCAAGCAGAACCGGAUCACGCCCAUCCAGAAACCGCGCGGGCUCGACCCCGUGGAGAUCCUGCAGGAGAGGGAGUACAGGCUCCAAGCCCGCAUCGCCCACCGCAUCCAGGAGCUGGAGAACCUGCCCGGCUCCUUGGCCGGAGACCUGAGGACCAAAGCCACCAUCGAGCUCAAGGCCCUGAGGCUGCUCAACUUCCAGCGCCAGCUCCGUCAGGAGGUGGUGGUGUGCAUGCGGCGCGACACGGCGCUGGAGACGGCGCUCAACGCCAAGGCCUACAAGCGCAGCAAGCGGCAGUCGCUGCGCGAGGCGCGCAUCACCGAGAAGCUGGAGAAGCAGCAGAAGAUCGAGCAGGAGAGGAAGCGCCGCCAGAAGCACCAG
RNAcentral lists this long non-coding RNA (1283 nucleotides) under Junco hyemalis (dark-eyed junco). Its description in RNAcentral is "lncRNA (ENSJHYG00000010875.1)". Lineage: Eukaryota; Metazoa; Chordata; Aves; Passeriformes; Passerellidae. The record is from RNAcentral.